RNAcentral lists this ribosomal RNA (486 nucleotides) under uncultured bacterium. Its description in RNAcentral is "partial 16S ribosomal RNA". It matches the Rfam family "Bacterial small subunit ribosomal RNA", at positions 30 to 507 of the family's 1533-position model. The record is from RNAcentral.
AUUGAACGCUGGCGGCAUGCCUUACACAUGCAAGUCGAACGGCAGCACGGGUGCUUGCCCCUGGUGGCGAGUGGCGAACGGGUGAGUAAUACAUCGGAACAUGUCCUGUAGUGGGGGAUAGCCCGUCGAAAGCCGGAUUAAUACCGCAUACGAUCUACGGAUGACAGCGGGGGACCUUCGGGCCUCGCGCUUUAGGGUUGGCCGAUGGCUGAUUAGCUAGUUGUUGGGGUAAAGGCCUACCAAGGCGACGAUCAGUAGCUGGUCUGAGAGGACGACCAGCCACACUGGAACUGAGACACGGCCCAGACUCCUACGGGAGGCAGCAGUGGGGAAUUUUGGACAAUGGGCGAAAGCCUGAUCCAGCAAUGCCGCGUGUGUGAAGAAGGCCUUCGGGUUGUAAAGCACUUUUGUCCGGAAAGAAAACCUUGGCCCUAAUACGGUCGGGGGAUGACGGUACCGGAAGAAUAAGCACCGGCUAACUACGUG